GCCGCCGCCUCCUCGCCCUCCUCCCUCCUGUCUUUCGUCCACUCUUCUCUCAGCGGGCGCUCCACGGCCCUGCUCUGGGCUCGCCUGAGUGCUGGGCUCUGCAGACGCAGGGAUGGGCCAGGCGAGCCCCUCACCACGGAGGUAGCAGGUCCAGAGGAAGCAGCAGAGGCUUCCUGGAGGAGGAUUUGUACCCCUAGGAGGACUAUGUCUUCCUCAUCUUUGUCUUCAGAGGAUAAAUACAAGGCCUGACACAUAACAAGCAUGAGAUUAAUUUACCCGAGGUCAACCACGGUCCAAAGAUAUUAAAUGGAAAAUUCCAGAAAUAAACAAUGUGUAAGUUUUCAGUUGCAUGCUAUUCUGAGUAGCAGGAUGAAAUCUCGUGCUGUCCGGCUUCGUCCCACCUGGGAUGUGAAUCAUCCCUUUGUCCAGUGGAUCCGCGCUAUAGACACUACUCUCCCAUCAGUCACUCAGCAGCUGCUUCAGUUCCCAGAUCAACUGUCGCAGGAUCGCAGUGCUUCUGUUCAAGUAAUCCUUAUUUUACUUCAUUAUGGGCUCCAAAGCACAAGAGGAGUGUUGCUGGUGAUUCCGAUAUGCCAAAGGAAAGCUGUAAAGUACUUCCUUUAAGUAGAAAGGUGAAAGUACUUGACUUAAUAAGAAAAUUUAAAAAACAAAAUUGUAUGCUGUGGUUGCUAAGAUCUACAGUAAGAAUGAUUCUAUUCAUGAAAUCGUGAAGAAGGAAAGAAAUUUGUGCUAGUUUUGCUGUUGCAACUCAAGCUGCAAAAGUUACAACACCUGUGUGUGAUGAGUGCUUAGUAAUGAUGGAAAAGCCAUUAAAUUUGUGGGUGCAAGACACGGACAGAAACGUUCUGAUUGACGGCAAUCAGGUUCCAUUGGGGGUAUUGGAACACAUCCCUGAGGAUAAUGGGGGACUACUGUAUUCUACCAACUUAUUCCUCUUGAAGAAUUCCCUUUCGGAUUUCUGACUGCUGAGUCCUGGACUGGUUGAUGGCAAGGCCAGCUGCCCUGGUUGUCACCUGGAGACUGUGCUGCACUUUUCUCCUGGGUCGAACCCCUCAAUUCCUAGAUCCCACGUCUUCCCCUUCUGGGUUCACUACCUUAUUUGGGGGAACAUAUACCCAUAGCUUUCUUUUUGUUUUAUUUUUUGUUUACCUAUUUAUUUAUCUUAUUUUAUUUUUUGAGACGGAGUCUCCCUCUGUUGCCCAGUCUGGAGUGCAGUGGUGUGACCUCGUCUCACUGCAGCCUCCACCCCCCAGGUUCAAGCAAUUCUCCUGCUUCAGCCUCCCAAGUAGCUGGGACUACAGGUACGUGCCACCAUGUCUGGCUAAUUUUUGUAUUUCUAGUAGAGAUGGGGUUUCUCCAUGUUGGCCAGGCUAGUCUCAAAUUCCUGACCUCAGGUGAUCCAACCGCCUUGGCCUCCCAAAGUGCUGGGAUUGCAGGCAUAAGCCACUGCGCCUGGCCCCAUGUAUACCUAUACUUUUCUAAAAGGAUGUGUUUGGGGUGAAAUCUUAAGACCUUGCCUUUCUAAAAGUGCCUCACAUUUAAUCAGAUAGUUUGACCAGGUAUAAAUUUCUAAACUGGAAAUAUUUUUCCCUCUGAAUUUUGAAGGCUUGCUCCAUUGUCUUCCAGUUUCUGCUGAAAAGUCUGAGGCCAUUCUGUUUCCUAAUCUUUUCUAGAGACUCUGUUCUCUCUUUCUGGAAGCUGUGUCCUCAGUGGGUCUUUUCUUUUAAGAGAAGGGAUCCCAUCGCCACCGAGGCUGGAGUUCAGUGGCACAAUCAUCGCUCACUGCAGCCUUGACCUCCUGGGCUCAAGGAUCCUCCUGCCCCAGCCUCCUGAGUAGUUAGGACUACAGGCUCAUACCACCAUGCCUGCUCAGCCUUAGUGUGUCUUGAAGUGAAUCGAUUUCCAUUCACUGUGCUGGGUACCCAGUGAGUCCUCACGGACAAACUAAUCAUCUUCAUUUUGGAGAAAAUUUAAAAGAAGUACCUCUAUAAUGAUUUUAUUUUUUCUUUCAGGAACUCCUUAAUUAUUCAAAUACUGGCCCUCCUGGAGCAGUUCUCUAUAUUUCUUAUAUCCUUUUUCCACCUAUUUUUCAUCCCAUUUUGCUCUUCAUUCUGGAAAUGUUCUUCAACUCUUCAACAGUUUUUUGUUGUUUUUCAAAAAUUUAUCUUAUCAUAUUUCCAAAAGCCUUUUGUUUGUUCUUUGACUAUUCCUUUUUUUAGAGUAUCUCGUUCUUUUCUCACGGAUGCAAUAUUUUCUCUUAUUUCUUUGAGGAUGUUAGUAAUGUUUUGUUGUUGUUUCUGUUGAAGUGUUUCUCACCAUGCCUAAUCUCUUCUUUGUCCAAGUUAAUUUUUUUUUCUGAUUGUUGAAAAGACAAGCCACAUACUGGGAGAAUAUAUUACAGCACAAAUAACGCACAAAGCAUUACUAUCCGGAAUACAUAAGUAAUUCUUACAAAUUGGUAAGAAGACAACUCAAUUAAAAAAGAGCAAAAGAUAUGAAUGAGCAUUUCACAGCAGAAAAAUAUGAAUGAAAAAUAAACCACAAGAAAAGAUUCUCAGCCUUAUAGAAAUCAGGAAAAUGUAAAUUAAGACCACAGGAAGAUUUUCCAUGGAAAAGAAGUCCCAUAGUGGCAAGUAUUGGAGAGGCAGGAAUCAACAGGGAUCCUUAUAUGCUCCUAAUGCAGUGUAAAUUGCUGCAACCACUUUAGAAUAUUGCGAUUUCAUUACUAAGUGUAAACCCUGGAGAUACACUUGCAUGCAAGCACCCAGAGACAGGUGCAAGGAUAUUCAUAGCAGUGCUGUUUAUUAUGGUAAAAACAUGGAAACCACCCUAAUGUCCUUAACAGUAAAAUUAAUUAAUUGUGGCAUCACCAUAUAAUGAAAUCCUAUACAGCAGUGGCAAUGAGUCUAACAUAGCUGUGGCUGGAUACAGAAGGAAUCAUAGAAUUAUAAUGCGGAGUGAGAAAAGCCUGUUGCAGAAGACUACAUACAACAGGAUUUGACACUUGUAAGGCUCCAAAACAAAGAAAAUUAAAUGAUAUUGUUUAGGUUUUCAUACAUAGGUGAUAAAAGUGUGUUUCUUUGUUUUUAAUGAGAAAAUUAGUCACAGAAUUUAAGAUCUUAGUUACUUCUAUAGGGAAGGCAGGGGAAUGGGACAAGGAGGAAGCCCACAGCAUUGGUCAUGCUCUCAUGUUGAAGUUGGGUUCAAAGGUGUUCAUUAUUAAAAUGCUUCAUAAUGAUGACCAUACAUUUGGUAUUUCUAGGACAAUCUUGGUUUACAUCUAUUGUCUCAACAUAAUUAUUCAGUGCAAGCCUUUCCUUUCUCAGAAAGGUCCUAAUGUAGAUAAUAAAUUAUUUUGGCCAACUUAUUUCUUAUAAAAUGCAACAUGCAUCUCUUUUGUAUGUAUCUAUUAUUCCAUAAUCUAUACAGGUGUUUUUGUUUUUUUGUUUUUGUUUUUGUUGUCAUUGUUGUUGUUUGUUUGUUUUUUUGAGACAAGCCUCUCUCUGUUGCCCAAGCUAGAGUAAAGUGGCACGAUCUGAGCUCACUGCAACCUCCGCCUCCGGGUUCAAGCGAUUCUUGUGCCUCAGCUUAUCAGGUAGCUGGGACUACAGGCACCCACCACCACAUCUGGCUAAAUUUUUGUAUAUUUAGUAGAGACAGGGUUUUGCCAUGUUGCCCAGGCUGAUCUCGAACUCCUGGCCUCAAGUGAUCUGCCCACCUCAGCCUCCCAAGGCUAGGAUUACGCUAAGAUUAUAGACAUAAAUCAGCGCACCUGGCCUCCAUAAUCGAUAUAGUUUUUAAUACUGGGGCCACAGCCUGGCCACAGUCUCAUGGGAUGUUUGUGGUUUGACCCUAACAACCUUGUGAACCAGCCUGGGUAACUGUCCUUGGGGCCUCAAUGAACCAAGCCCUGGAGCACCCAGUCCCCAGAUCCUUCUGGCCACUCUGACUCCCUGUGCCCUGGACCCCACACCUCACCUGUCCUGGGCCCCACUCUGUCCUCUCCUCCACUUCUCACUGCCUGUGGAGCCAUCUUCCAGGGGCCCUGAAACCUCACCCACAAUCCAGGUCCACCCAGGGCCCCUGUGCCAGGCCCCAUGCUGGGUGAUAUUGGGGAACCAUCUUGGGGGCAGCUGGAGAUGGAAACCGUGACAACCCAGUGGAUCAAGGCUAUGGCACAGACCAGGCUGUGACACUGCAGAGGAGAGGGCUUAGCCCAACCUGGGGCCCAGGGAAGGCUGCCUGGAGCUGUUUUGAAGUCUGACGGGAGUGAGCUGGGUAGGGAAAGUGGGGGGAAGAGUGCUCCGGGCAGACAGGACAAAGUGCAGACAGUAGGGUAAGGAGGCACGGUGGGGGACGCAGCUCACAUGUUGCUGUGAGCAGAGCACAGAGCACAGGGCAGUGCCUGGCAGAAGUGGGUCUGGAAAGGGUGCCUCCUGGAGCCAUGAAUGCCAAGCCCAGGGUCUUGGACUGUAUCCUGAAGGCAGCAAGGAGGCACUGAAGGCAUUAGAGCGAAGCAAGGAGAACUGUCAGGCCAGAGGAGACUAUACCCAAGGAAGAAGAAACCAGAGAAAGGACAGGAAGGUUUGGUGGCAGCGACUAGUCUCGAGACGGCAGUCCCCAGAACAGGGCUGGAUGUGUCCCCACCAGUAGACAGGCCCAGAUGCAAGGCCUCUGAUGUGUCUGCCGCUGCAGCCUCCAUUCCUAGGGUGGUGACUCAAUAAAUAUGUGCUGAAUGAAUGAAUGAAUGAAUGAAAUGUCAUGACUUCCAGGUACCCCACUGAUGUGGUUUGACUGUGUCACCACCUAAAUCUCAUCUUGAAUUGUAGCUCCCACAAUCAGGUGUUGUGGGAGGGACGUGAAUCAUGGGGGUGGGUUUUUCCCAUGCUGUUCUCGUGAUAGUGACUAAGUCUCACAAGAUCUGAUGGUUUUAUAAAGGGCAGUUCCCCUACACACGCUUUCUUGCCUGCCACCAUGUAAGAUGUGCCUUUGCUCCUCCUUCAUCUUCCGCCAUGAUUGUGAGGCCUCCUCAGCCAUGUGGAAUUGUGAGUCCA
Molecule: long non-coding RNA, 5075 nt
Filed under: Homo sapiens (human)
Lineage: Eukaryota; Metazoa; Chordata; Mammalia; Primates; Hominidae
Description: HSALNT0292212
Source: RNAcentral